This 400-nucleotide ribosomal RNA is filed under the name uncultured bacterium. RNAcentral's name for it is "bacterial SSU rRNA". It matches the Rfam family "Bacterial small subunit ribosomal RNA", at positions 28 to 422 of the family's 1533-position model. The record is from RNAcentral.
GACGAACGCUGGCGGCGCGCUUAACACAUGCAAGUCGAGCGAGAACCAUUCCUUCGGGAAUGGGGACAGCGGCGAACGGGUGAGUAACACGUGGGUAAUCUGCCCUCGAUUCUGGGAUAGCCCGGGGAAACCCGGAUUAAUACCGGAUAGCCUCUCGAGCUUUCGAGCUCUUGAGAAAAGGUAGCUUCGGCCUCCGAUCGAGGAUGAGCCCGCGGCGGAUUAGCUUGUUGGUGGGGAAUGGCCUACCAAGGCAACGAUCCGUAGCUGGUCUGAGAGGACGAUCAGCCACACUGGGACUGAGACACGGCCCAGACUCCUACGGGAGGCAGCAGUGGGGAAUCUUGCGCAAUGGGCGAAAGCCUGACGCAGCGACGCCGCGUGGGGGGAAGAAGGCCUCGGU